ACUUAAUGAUGGCAGUGAUGUAUCCUCUGAGAGAGAAAUAAACUCUGUGGAAAUAAAGUUUGUGGCUGACAUCUCCCUCCUUCCUGCCUGUCAUUUCCUCUAAGUCAGAGUCAGAAAAGGACAAGUAGCUGUGCAGGAAACAGUAACACCAUUCUGAAGAGCUUGUCGGCCAGUCUCCUGAAACGUCAUUCAUUCUUUUAGCAUCAACAAGGAGGAAGACACAAGACCCUGGGCUAGAAACUAUGAGCACAAAGAAUAUGAAAUAGCUACUGGAAGUGGAACUUCAGCAAUGAUGGCAUGAGAAGCAUGGCAAAAACCCCUGCCUGGCAAAACAAGGGAGACGGGGAGAUUUGACUGUAGAAGAGGAAAAGAGGUUGUGCUGAGAGAAGCAGAGAUGGAAUGAUGCCCACUGAAGAUGGCAGCAGGGGCCACAAGCCAAGAAAUACAGACGGCCACUAAGGCUAAAAGAGGCGAGGAAACAGAUUCAACUCUCAAGCCCUCCAGAAGAAAACAGCCCUGCAGAAACCUUGACUUUCAUCCAGUGAAAGUGAUUUCAGACUUCUGACCUCCAAAACUGUAAGACAGGGAAUUUGUUUUGUUUAAGCCACUAAGUUUAUAGUAAUUUCUUAC
This is a long non-coding RNA of Hyaena hyaena (striped hyena), 630 nucleotides long. RefSeq lists it as uncharacterized. NCBI's taxonomy places the organism in Eukaryota, Metazoa, Chordata, Mammalia, Carnivora, Hyaenidae. The transcript has 3 exons. The record is from RefSeq and is a predicted model, not a curated record.